UGUGUGUGCGGUCAGUCGGUAUGAGAAAUGAAAUUUGUGUGAAGGAAAUCGUAAAUGUCAUAAAUUUAAAGUGAUUGAAUCAGCUCGUGUUUAAUAACUGUGGAGAGUUGCCAGACCUGUGUUCAGGAAAACUGGCGAACUUAUAGUUGGACGUAGGACUUGGCCGCGGAAGUAUACAAAGUGUUGUGGUGGUCCAUCGAAAAUACAGUACCGCACUUUAGAAUAUGAAACCCGCUUUGCGGUUAGGAAUAUUUACGCUCGCAGUGUAAUCUUCAGCUGUCAGCAGCAAGUGACAGAAGUGCAAGUAUAAAUAUACUGCUAGUCAAUUUCGUUGGACGCCCGAAACUUAUUUACAAAUAAAACGAAUGACAGCGCUGCGCGUCGAUGUACUCACCAGGCCCGGCAUCAGAGUGCACAAGUGGUUUUUAGUAGUGUGUAUCAUAUUAAGCGUAUUCUAACCGCAUUGAUUGCCCUCCUGUGCGUGGAACUGUUUGCACUCGAGAAAACUGUACCGAAGUUGAGAGGAUCAAACAUGGCAGAUCCCUUUUUGCUUGAAAGCUAUUUCUACAAUAAAAACUUGUUGCAGAAGGACAGAAAUCAGUUGAUGUUUGAGGAUAAAUGGCCAUCUAUGAGGCCAAUUAUUCUUAAACUCCUUCAACAGGAACCUGUUACACAAAAUGAGUGGCAAGAUCUAUUCUAUUCUGUUCAUUUGGUGUGCUUGUGGGAUGAAAAAGGGCCACCUAAGGUUAAGGAUGCACUUAAGGAUGACAUUAUGGAUUUCAUCAAACAAGCGCAACAGAGAGUACUGGCACACCAGGAGGAUCAGGCCCUGUUGAAAGCAUAUAUUGCUGAGUGGAGGAAGUUUUUCACACAAUGCAAUUAUUUACCAACUCCCUUCAGACAACUUGAGACUGCUUUAGCUGGAAAGGCAAGUUCAUCAGGCCAAAAAAAGUCAACAGCAGACGAGAGUAUUGUGAGGAAGUUAAUGCUGGACAGUUGGAACCAGAGCAUAUUCUGUGACAUUAAACAACGUCUUCAGGAUUCUGCCAUGAAAUUAGUGCAUGCAGAACGAAAUGGAGAAGCUUUUGAUUCCCAGCUUGUUAUUGGCGUUCGAGAAUCGUAUGUUAAUCUCUGUUCGAAUCCUGAGGAUAAACUCCAAAUAUACCGAGAAAAUUUUGAAAAGGCCUACAUUGAAGCAACAGAGGCAUUUUAUCGAAUGAAAGCGCCUCAGUACCUCCAGGCAAAUGGUGUUCAAAAUUAUAUGAGGUAUGCUGAUGCAAAACUGAGGGAGGAACAGCACAGGGCACAGAAGUACCUAGAGCCAUGCAGUGGAUCAGUGCAAGUACUGACAGAUUGUUGUGUGAAAGUUUUGGUGUCCACGUUCAAAACCACAAUACUUGCUGAAUGUGCUGGAAUGAUUAAGGCAAAUGAAACUGAAAAGUUGCGGCUGAUGUUUAAGCUUAUGGAUCGUGUUCCCGACGGAAUAGCAUCAAUGUUAAAAGAUCUUGAGGAUCACAUUAUGAGUGCUGGAUUAGCUGACAUGGUUGCUGCUGCUGAUAUAAUUACACAGGAUUCGGAAAAAUAUGUUGAAAGGCUUCUUGAACUCUUUCACCAGUUCAGCGUUUUAGUUUCUGAUGCUUUUAAUGAUGAUCCAAGGUUUCUGACAUCUCGGGAUAAAGCAUAUAGGCAUGUUGUUAAUGAUACACAGGUGUUCAGGCUAGAACUGCCAUCAAAACAGAGUGCAGGCCUCAAGUCCCAGCCAGAAUCAAAGUGUCCUGAACUUCUAGCAAAUUAUUGUGACAUGUUAUUGAGGAAAACACCUUUGAGCAAAAAGCUGACAUCUGAUGAGAUCGAGAAUAAGCUGCGGGAUGUGUUGCUAGUACUAAAAUACGUUCAGAACAAAGACGUAUUCAUGAGAUACCACAAAGCACAUCUCACAAGACGUUUAAUAUUAGAUACAUCAGCAGACUCUGAAAAAGAAGAAAAUAUGGUGGAAUGGCUUCGAGAAGUUGGAAUGCCUGCAGAUUAUGUAAACAAAUUAGCGAGAAUGUUUCAAGACAUAAAAGUCAGUGAAGAUUUAAAUCAACAAUUUAAGGAACAGUACAGGAAUACUAGAGGUAGCAUAGCAGACUCAAUCAACAUCAAGAUCUUGAAUGCCGGGGCUUGGGCACGUGGAAGUGAACGUGUAACUGUGUCGUUGCCUCUGGAGCUAGAAGACUACAUUCCGGAAGUAGAAGAUUUCUACAAAAAGAAACACAGUGGGAGGAAACUACAAUGGUACCAUCAUAUGUCUAAUGGGACGAUAACAUUUGCAAAUAAUGUUGGAAGAUAUGAUGUAGAUGUCACCACUUUCCAAAUGGCAGUUCUUUUUGCAUGGAAUCAGCGUCCAUACGAUAAAAUACCAUACGAAAAUUUAAGGCUGGCCACAGAGUUACCUGAUCCAGAGCUUAGAAGAACAUUGUGGUCUCUUGUCGCAUUCCCAAAGCUUAGAAGGCAAGUUCUGUCAUACGAACCAGAAGUGCAGUCACCAAAGGACUUUGAGGAAAACACCAUGUUCUGGGUUAAUCAAGAAUUUGCUCUGGUGAAGAAUGGAAAGCUUCAGAAACGGGGGAAAAUCAACCUCGUUGGACGGCUGCAGCUUUCCACUGAGAGGAGCAAGGAGGAAGAUAAUGAAAGUAUAGUGCAGCUGAGAAUACUUCGUGUACAGGAGGCUGUUAUCAAAAUUCUGAAAAUGCGUAAACGAAUUACAAAUGUCCAACUUCAAACAGAACUUGUAGAUAUCUUGAAGAAUAUGUUUCUACCCAGCAAGAAGAUGAUCAAAGAGCAAAUAGAAUGGCUUAUAGAACACAAAUAUAUGAGAAGAGAUGAAGACGAUAUUAACACAUUCAUAUACAUGGCAUGAAAGAAAAUGUAAUGUUUGAUGCCAUUGAAGUAUUUGUCUGCAAAGUGGAGAAAUUUCAACAGAAGAGGAAGUUUCUUCAUCCGGAUUCCUAAGAAAGGUGCUGUCCGAAGGCAUCCUGUGGUAACUUUGAAAAACAAAUAUCAAAUAUAUGGAUCAUUAGUUGAAUUAAGCUCCCAUCAAAAUGAGAGUAGACGUGUGCAAAAAGUUGCAUAGGGAGUCUCCCUUUCUUCAACAGUGGGAACAUUAAAAAUGAAGACUCGUACUUUUUAUUAGCUCAUAUCCUGUGACUACAUGACUCUGUGAUAGUGAAUCAGUGUUUUGUUCAUUUGUGACUUUAUUUGUGAACUCAGUGAGAAAUAAAUACAUGAAAAUGUGUAAAAACAGUCAGACAUAAUUAUAAAGAGCUAUGGUUGUAUGAAUGAAGUGGAGACAGGGUGUUGCUGCUCCUUGAUCUUAACCCUUUCCGCUCCUUUGUUGCACUCAUCCCAAUAUUUCAUGGGUGUUGUGAAUCUCUCAUGAACUUGAAUUAUGACUGUUUGUGCUUGCAUUCAUAAGUAUGGAAGUACUGUACCAAAUAAUGGCCAAUGAAUACAUCAGUAGGGGUCAUAAUGUAAUAAAAUCAUCUUGCUUUAUUGACUGCGUCAGUGUGCAGGUUGUUUGCAACUUAAGUCGAUGUGUCACUGUGUAGUAACUGUGUGUCAAUAUGCAAAUAAUACAUUUCUUUUUCCACUACCAAUCCUUAUGCAUAAUAUUCAAAUCUGAAAUGCAACUCUGUAACAUUUAACCUGAAGACUCUGUGUUACCCAGAGAAUCUUCACAUCUUUAUUGCGAGCAUGGCUUUCUUUAUAUUGCCAUUCCUACAUGAACAUAAUUCAUUCUCAACUGUCUUUCCUUUGUCCAACAAGUGUCACUGUAGUAGCUGGUCAUUUCUUCAGAGUUUUUUCCACAUGUUUAAGGCAAAAUUUCAGAAGUUUCUGAUUGCUUGACAUCAGGUGCUAUUACAUUAUAUAAUUUUUUGGGUAAUUUAAUAUUAUUUUGUGUUUUUAAUGUGAGAUUUAAGAUGCAUGCAAAAACCAUUUUUUGUGCUAUGGCUUCCUGCCACACAUUUGCAGUCAUUAAAUACUUCUGUUAAAUGUUAAUAGUUACCAAAAAUACUUUUAAAAUAUUGUGUGAAAGUAGUGGUAUCAGGGGUCUGCCAUUGUCGUGAAUAUCGAUCACAUGCACUGAAAUUUGUAUUUGUGGUAUCCUGGCUUCAGCUUUAAAAGAAGUCACUAUAUAUUUGAAAAAUAUGCAAUGGAUGAAAUUUUUGGGUACUACUCAAAAAUUUUGUUUUGGUUUGUUUCGUGAUGGAUGUUCUACAUUAUCUCGAUUUAGAUACUGUGUAUGUGUGAAUAAGAAUAUCUUUACAAAGAACAAUGAGUCUCAUCAGACAAUGUUCCAUGUUUGUCAUUUGGAAAGUGAGCAUUAUGUGAGUG
Schistocerca piceifrons (Central American locust) is the source of this 4377-nucleotide RNA transcript. It is a transcript of the gene named cullin-5, with no coding region annotated. The record is from RefSeq and is a predicted model, not a curated record. NCBI's taxonomy places the organism in Eukaryota, Metazoa, Arthropoda, Insecta, Orthoptera, Acrididae. The transcript has 18 exons.